GUGUCUUCGGAGACAUUCGAUAAAUUUGGAACGAUACAAAGAAAAUUAUUUAGCAUGACCCUUGCACAAGGAUGACACGUACAAAUCGAGAAACCCUAGUUCUAAUUUCUU
Molecule: small nuclear RNA, 111 nt
Filed under: Ipomoea nil (Japanese morning glory)
Lineage: Eukaryota; Viridiplantae; Streptophyta; Magnoliopsida; Solanales; Convolvulaceae
Source: RNAcentral